GUAGGUGGCAAGCGUUGUCCGGAAUUAUUGGGCGUAAAGCGCGCGCAGGCGGGGUCCUUUAAGUCUGGAUGUGAAAGCCCACGGGCUCAACCGUGGAGGGUCAUUGGAAACUGGGGGACUUGAGUACAGAAGAGGAAAGCGGAAUUCCAAGUGUAGCGGUGAAAUGCGUAGAGAUUUGGAGGAACACCAGUGGCGAAGGCGGCUUUCUGGUCUGUAACUGACGCUGAGGCGCGAAAGCGUGGGGAGCAAACAGGAUUAGAUACCCUGGUAGUCCACGCCGUAAACGAUGAGUGCUAAGUGUUAGGGGGUUUCCGCCCCUUAGUGCUGCAGCUAACGCAUUAAGCACUCCGCCUGGGGAGUACGGCCGCAAAGGCUG
Molecule: ribosomal RNA, 376 nt
Filed under: uncultured organism
Description: partial 16S ribosomal RNA
Rfam family: Bacterial small subunit ribosomal RNA
Source: RNAcentral